UUUAAGGUUCCUCUUGGAACCAUCCAAAGUGCAUGUAAAAUGCAA
Molecule: non-coding RNA, 45 nt
Organism: Taeniopygia guttata (zebra finch)
Lineage: Eukaryota; Metazoa; Chordata; Aves; Passeriformes; Estrildidae
Source: Rfam